UUAAAAUGCUGCCUCUGUAAAGGCAAUGAAUUUGUCCCUACUAGGACAAAGAAGUCAGAUGCUAGAAUCAAUUCCAUUUCUUCCAGGAACUCUCAGGGAUUAAACGGUUUUUUUUCUUUUAAUUUUAUUUUUAAUAUGAAGAAUCAGAUGUGGCACAUCUUCAACUCUUUUUUUCUUUUCUUUUUUUUUUUCUUUACUACAAGCUGCAAUGCUUUGAAGGUUUUUAAAAAGAGGAAGAGGAGGAGGAGGAGGAGGAGGAAGAAGAAGGAGAAGAAGAAAAAGAAAAGUAAAAGUCUUCCAGUCAACAGUUCUACUUGAGUUCAACUGAAUCUUUGCUGGAUGGACUCUGUGAAGACGUGAUCCCACCUACUGCAUCUAUCAAUGCUCUCCAGUUUCAGGAUGUUAUUCUGUUGCUGUUGUAUGGCAGUGACAUCAAGAUUGUGGUAACUGUGACUUAUGAUAAGAAAUACACUGUAUUUGGUCUUGUCCCUGUUUUCUGGCAUACAGCUCCUAUCUGCCUUGGAAUCUCCAAAAUGUGCACAACCUAGAACUUCCAGAACUAACAACUGUUGAAAAACAGUGUGAGAGUGGACAUCCUUACCUUGUUCCUGGUCUUGGUACCUGGCCUCAGACACUGCACCCAGCCCCUUCCAUCAGAUGCUAUUGCUGAUAGCAACGGGUAAGGCUAGCACAAGUUCAGAGGAUGUGGACAGAGCCUCCCCCUCUUGAAGAAAGCAGCAGCCAAGUCUCCUUGCAAAGAGGUAUGGAGAUGAGAUUCACUGGGGGCCGUCAAGGCAACAAUCUACCACCUGCUACAUUCUGACCCCAAUGACUCGCAUCCCUGCCCAAGAUUCCCAAAGUCUCAUCUUGUCCUAGCACUGGGUCCCUGCGCGUUUCAACAAGCCUGAGAUGUGUUGUGACAAUCUCCCACUUUGUUGUCUGGGCACAGCAAUAAAACCCAAGCUCCCCGAGUCUACCAAGGAAGGCCGCUAACUUUGGGAAGGGGUCUAAAAAUAAUUUUACAGUUAUGCCCAGUGUGUCAAUAUAGUUAAUGCUCACCUUAAAUAUGUAGUCAUGCAGCCAGCUGAAGGCAGCGCAGUGACUCACCUUCUCCCAGUGCGGCAGGACUUUCCCUGAUGAGUGAUCAAUGCUCUCCAUUAAAGGCUUCCUGUUUCCUUCUGACCCUGAAAACAGUAUGUAAGAGCUACACAUUCUGUGCACAGACAAAGAACAACACUCCACGGUGAAUUGCUUUUAUAACCCUUGGCAUUAUUUUCCAGUGAAUCGUAUCCUGUAAACAGGAACCUCAUGAGAAAACAUAAAUGAGCAAUAAUCAUUUCCUAUAUUGGUAAUCAGAUAAAAGUCCUGAUUCAAUUUCCAAUUGCUUUAACAUGCAUAAAACUUUCAGUGCAUCUAUAUCAGAAAGGCAAUUCCUGGAUUCAUUAUAUAUGUGUAUACACACAUAUAUAUACAUAAUGAUACACACACAUAAUGAUAUGUAUACAUA
Macaca mulatta (Rhesus monkey) is the source of this 1507-nucleotide non-coding RNA. The record is from RefSeq and is a predicted model, not a curated record. Lineage: Eukaryota; Metazoa; Chordata; Mammalia; Primates; Cercopithecidae.